UGGCGUACGGGUGAGUAACACGUGGAUCAUCUGCCCUGGAGUGGGGAAUAACGCUGGGAAACCGGCGCUAAUACCGCAUAUUCCCGAGAGGGGAAAGCAGCAAUGCGCUCGAGGAGGAGUCCGCGGCCGAUUAGCUAGUUGGCAGGGUAAAAGCCUACCAAGGCUAUGAUCGGUAGCCGGCCUGAGAGGGCACACGGCCACACUGGCACUGAAACACGGGCCAG
RNAcentral lists this ribosomal RNA (224 nucleotides) under uncultured bacterium. RNAcentral's name for it is "partial 16S ribosomal RNA". It matches the Rfam family "Bacterial small subunit ribosomal RNA", at positions 96 to 334 of the family's 1533-position model. The record is from RNAcentral.